GCCUUCGUGGUGUAAUGGUCAGCACACUCGGCGCGUAUUCGAGAGGUCCGAGGUUCGAGUCCCGGCGAGACA
RNAcentral lists this transfer RNA (72 nucleotides) under Stegodyphus mimosarum. It matches the Rfam family "tRNA". Rfam says of the family: Transfer RNA (tRNA) molecules are approximately 80 nucleotides in length. Their secondary structure includes four short double-helical elements and three loops (D, anti-codon, and T loops). Lineage: Eukaryota; Metazoa; Arthropoda; Arachnida; Araneae; Eresidae. The record is from Rfam by way of RNAcentral.